This 846-nucleotide long non-coding RNA is filed under the name Numida meleagris (helmeted guineafowl). RNAcentral describes it as "lncRNA (ENSNMEG00000017648.1)". The record is from RNAcentral. Lineage: Eukaryota; Metazoa; Chordata; Aves; Galliformes; Numididae.
CUGGUGUCGUUUGGGUGAGCAUGAUAUAACAAAAUAAAAAAACAUCAUUUGUCACCAUUAGUCAUGCAUGGUGGGCCUGGAUUCUGAAGUGACAAACUACUUUGUGUUUCUCUAGUAACAGCUACAGAACAAGGGGCUUGUCUGUCACAAAAUAGUACUUCCAUAAACGAUCAGUCUGUGAAUUUGGGAGGCUGCCCAACAACCCACAUCACAACCAAAAUGCCUUGGACCUGCUUUUGAGGGAUGAUCAGGAUAGCAGAGAGAACCGCUUAUUCCUCCGCAUGCCCAGUGCUGAGAUGUCCAUUUGGGAUGUCAGAAAAUCCUAUCAGCUAGAAACUUCAGUGGCAAAAUAUUUCACCAAGCUGUGAUUCAAGCAUCACUGUAUGUGAUAGACUCUGAUAUGUUUGGAUCAAACAACAGUUUUGCCCAGGAUUUUCUAAGAUCCCAAAUAUGUGAGGUCUCUUUCAUGCAUCUAACCUUUCUCCUAGUGUCUUUGGCACGCCAGACUUCAUCUUCACUUUUCUCUUCUCUGAAGGUUUCACGCAACAUGUAAUAGAACCAGUGCAAACAGACCCAGAACACCACUUCCUGUUGCAAAUUUCUGAUGGAAUGCAUAUAUUGCUCUUACUGCCACCCAGGAUCUGUUGCCUAUUAUCCCCAGGAACACUGAAUGUCUCUCAGCUGUAUUUCAAAGGACAUUUGAAAACACAGGCCAGAAGUAUCUGUGGUGCCCUUUCAGACUCAAAGUCCUUGAUGUUCGCCUAUUGGUGCUAUGAGCACCAUCUCUCUUCAAAGCUGGCUCUUCAAGAAGAGGCCUCAAAUAAACAGCAACCUUCUACUCCAUGA